AGUGAACGCUGGCGGUAGGCCUAAUACAUGCAAGUCGAGCGACAGCACAGUGAGCUUUUUCUUUUACGGUUGGCGACGGACGGACGAGUAAACGUGACUAAGCUAUCUAUUUGAUUGGGGUGACUUAGGGAGGCCGGAUCUCGUAACUACUGCUUUCUUGAUCCGGGUGAAUCCAUGGUAUCUGCCGACCUUGCUCUAAUUUAUAGAUCGAUGUCGGAUUAGCUAGUUGGCUGGGUAAGGGCCCACCAAGGCGACGAUCCGUAGCUGGUCUGAGAGGGUGAUCAGCCACACUGGAACUGAGACACGGUCCAGACUCCUACGGGAGGCAGCAGUGGGGAAUAUUCGACAAUGGGCGAAAGCCUGAUCCAGCAAUACCGCGUGGGUGAAGAAGGUCUUCGGGUUGUAAAGCCCUUUUGUUGGGAAAGAAAAGAAGCAGGUUAAUACCCCGAUGUUCUGACGGUACCCAAAGAAUAAGCACCGGCUAACUUCGUG
RNAcentral lists this ribosomal RNA (492 nucleotides) under uncultured bacterium. Its description in RNAcentral is "partial 16S ribosomal RNA". It matches the Rfam family "Bacterial small subunit ribosomal RNA", at positions 29 to 507 of the family's 1533-position model. The record is from RNAcentral.